UACAGAGGUCCCGAGCGUUGUUCGGAUUCAUUGGGCGUAAAGGGUGCGUAGGUGGCGUGGUAAGCCGGGUGUGAAAUUUCGGAGCUUAACUCCGAAACUGCAUUCGAUACUGCCGUGCUUGAGGACUGGAGAGGAGACUGGAAUUUACGGUGUAGCAGUGAAAUGCGUAGAGAUCGUAAGGAAGACCAGUGGCGAAGGCGGGUCUCUGGACCACAUCUGACGCUGAGGCGCGAAAGCUAGGGGAGCAAGCAGG
RNAcentral lists this ribosomal RNA (253 nucleotides) under uncultured bacterium. Its description in RNAcentral is "partial 16S ribosomal RNA". It matches the Rfam family "Bacterial small subunit ribosomal RNA", at positions 524 to 776 of the family's 1533-position model. The record is from RNAcentral.